AGAGUUUGAUCAUGGCUCAGGAUGAACGCUAGCGAUAGGCCUAACACAUGCAAGUCGAGGGGCAGCACAUGAAGUAGCAAUACGGAUGGUGGCGACCGGCGCACGGGUGAGUAACGCGUAUGCAGCCUGCCUACAACAGGGGAAUAACCCGUUGAAAGACGGACUAAUACCCCAUAACACAGGGAUCCCGCAUGGGAAUAUUUGUUAAAGAUUUAUCGGUUGUAGAUGGGCAUGCGUUCCAUUAGCUUGUUGGUGAGGUAACGGCUCACCAAGGCAACGAUGGAUAGGGGAACUGAGAGGUUUAUCCCCCACACUGGUACUGAGACACGGACCAGACUCCUACGGGAGGCAGCAGUGAGGAAUAUUGGUCAAUGGACGCAAGUCUGAACCAGCCACGUCGCGUGAAGGAAGACGGCCCUACGGGUUGUAAACUUCUUUUGUAAGGGAAUAAAGUGUAGUACGUGUACUAUUUUGCAUGUACCUUACGAAUAAGGAUCGGCUAACUCCGUGCCAGCAGCCGCGGUAAUACGGAGGAUCCGAGCGUUAUCCGGAUUUAUUGGGUUUAAAGGGUGCGCAGGCGGGAGAUUAAGUCGGCGGUGAAAUUUUGCAGCUCAACUGUAAAAGUGCCUUCGAAACUGGUUUCCUUGAGUGUGGAUGAAGUAGGCGGAAUUUGUGGUGUAGCGGUGAAAUGCAUAGAUAUCACGAGGAACUCCGAUUGCGCAGGCAGCUUACUAAACCAUAACUGACGCUCAGGUACGAAGGCGUGGGGAUCA
Molecule: ribosomal RNA, 773 nt
Filed under: uncultured Proteiniphilum sp.
Lineage: Bacteria; Pseudomonadati; Bacteroidota; Bacteroidia; Bacteroidales; Dysgonomonadaceae
Description: bacterial SSU rRNA
Rfam family: Bacterial small subunit ribosomal RNA
Source: RNAcentral